CCUACGGGAGACAGCAGUGAGGAAUAUUGGUCAAUGGACGAGAGUCUGAACCAGCCAUGUCGCGUGCAGGAUGACUGCCCCAUGGGUUGUAAACUUCUUUUAUAUGGGAAUAAAAUGUUCCACGUGUGGGUUUUUAUAUGUACCAUAUGAAUAAGGAUCGGCUAACUCCGUGCCAGCAGCCGCGGUACUCCGGAGGAUGCGAGCGUUAUCCGGAUUUAUUGGGUUUAAAGGGUGCGCAGGCGGAAGAUCAAGUCAGCGGUAAAAUUGAAAGGCUCAACCUCUUCGAGCCUUUGAAACUGGUUUUCUUGAGUGAGCGAGAAGUAUGCGGAAUGCGUGGUGUAGCGGUGAAAUGCAUAGAUAUCACGCAGAACUCCGAUUGCGAAGGCAGCAUACCGGCGCUCAACUGACGCUCAUGCACGAAAGUGUGGGUAUCGAACAGGAUUAGAUACCCGUGUAGUC
Molecule: ribosomal RNA, 459 nt
Filed under: uncultured bacterium
Lineage: Bacteria
Description: partial 16S ribosomal RNA
Rfam family: Bacterial small subunit ribosomal RNA
Source: RNAcentral